Molecule: long non-coding RNA, 386 nt
Organism: Papaver somniferum (opium poppy)
Lineage: Eukaryota; Viridiplantae; Streptophyta; Magnoliopsida; Ranunculales; Papaveraceae
Exons: 4
Source: RefSeq, a predicted model, not a curated record
UUUUUCAGGGCAGGAGAUGUGUUUGGAAGGAGAGGAAAUCGACAGCUUAAACAACUCUGGAGACUUCGUGGAUUAUUAGAACGAUUAUCUGUUGCACUCAUUGUUCUUUUGAUCUGUUGUAUCUCUCUUUUCACUACUUUCAAGAGUACUACCAAUCGCCCUGGGAUUCACUCCGGUGAAGAGUCGACCAAAGAUGAGAAAAAUGCUAUUGAAAAAUCGCCACAAUAAUAGGGAUUUUCCGGUGUAGAAUGAUUGCUCUCACAGGAUUUAUUGGUGGAGACCGCGACAGAGCAGGAUGGCUCAGUCAGUAAUAUCACCGUGCAGCCCACAGUUUUUCAGGCAUUGACACUAGCAGUACGUAAAGCGAGUCAAUCUAUAUGCAGUUA